This 133-nucleotide ribosomal RNA is filed under the name uncultured bacterium. RNAcentral describes it as "partial 16S ribosomal RNA". The record is from RNAcentral.
GGUACCGUCAAGUGCAAUGGGUAUUAACCACUACACAUUUCUUCCCUUCUGACAGGGCUUUACGACCCGAAAGCCUUCCUCACCCACGCGGCGUCGCUGCGUCAGGGUUUCCCCCAUUGCGCAAUAUUCCUCA